RNAcentral lists this ribosomal RNA (484 nucleotides) under uncultured bacterium. RNAcentral's name for it is "partial 16S ribosomal RNA". It matches the Rfam family "Bacterial small subunit ribosomal RNA", at positions 30 to 507 of the family's 1533-position model. The record is from RNAcentral.
AUUGAACGCUGGCGGCAGGCCUAACACAUGCAAGUCGAGCGGAUGAAGGGAGCUUGCUCCUGGAUUCAGCGGCGGACGGGUGAGUAAUGCCUAGGAAUCUGCCUGGUAGUGGGGGAUAACGUCCGGAAACGGGCGCUAAUACCGCAUACGUCCUGAGGGAGAAAGUGGGGGAUCUUCGGACCUCACGCUAUCAGAUGAUCCUAGGUCGGAUUAGCUAGUUGGUGGGGUAAAGGCCUACCAAGGCGACGAUCCGUAACUGGUCUGAGAGGAUGAUCAGUCACACUGGAACUGAGACACGGUCCAGACUCCUACGGGAGGCAGCAGUGGGGAAUAUUGGACAAUGGGCGAAAGCAUGAUCCAGCCAUGCCGCGUGUGUGAAGAAGGUCUUAGGAUUGUAAAGCACUUUAAGUUGGGAGGAAGGGAAGUAAGUUAAUACAUUGCUGUAUUGACGUUACCAACAGAAUAAGCACCGGCUAACUUCGUG